Molecule: ribosomal RNA, 91 nt
Filed under: Chromis mirationis (Japanese chromis)
Lineage: Eukaryota; Metazoa; Chordata; Actinopteri; Pomacentridae
Description: partial 16S rRNA
Source: RNAcentral
CGCCCAAUAGCUAGCCCACCCCAACAAAACCAACAUCACCCUAUUAAUACCCCCUAAUAUACUACAACCUGGAAAACAAACCAUUUUACCU